GAGGCUGCGGUCAUGGAGGGAGCAGGAGCUGGAUCCGGCUUCCGGAAGGUGAGGGCCGGAGGGCAGGGGCUAGGCAGGCGCGGACGCUCCGUCCCGACCUCACGCGUGACACUGUGAGGGCCAGACGCCAGCCCCCGCGCCGCCCCCUGUGCCUUUGAGGUUGGGCCCGUUCUCAGACUCCAUCUCCGGCCGGGCCGCGCGCCCCGCGCCCUCGUGGGCUGGUGUCUCGCAGCUGGAGCUGGUGAGCAGGCUGCUGCACCUGCACUUCAAGGAUGACAAGACCAAAGAAGCAGCAGUCCGCGGCGUGCGGCAGGCCCAGGCAGAAGACGCGCUCCGUGUGGACGUGGACCAGCUGGAGAAGGUGCUUCCGCAGCUGCUCCUGGACUUCUAGGGAUCUCAGCCGUGGCUGAGGCCACCCCCAGAGGAGCCCCUGGUCCACAGAAGCAGGCCUUGUGUUUCCAGCGGCCUCUGAUAAGAGGCAGGGAAGGACCUGAAGGAUUUGGAGUUGAUUCAAACAAGAUCUCUGGGAGUCUCCAGCCUGUGCAGAAGGGGCAGGACUGCAGUGCACUGCGGGCCUUGGAGUGUCCAGUGGGGACACUGGUGUGGGAAGGGGCAGCACCUGGGGAGUCCCUGCCUCUCCUCCCUGGGACAAUAGUGUGCAUGCCACCCGGGGUCCUACAGGCAGGUGCUGGGAAAGGCCUGGCCAGCAGGUAGCCUGUGUGUUUGACAAACAGCAGCUGGCAGCGCUGCCU
This 752-nucleotide long non-coding RNA is filed under the name Homo sapiens (human). Its description in RNAcentral is "non-protein coding lnc-DCXR-2:3". Lineage: Eukaryota; Metazoa; Chordata; Mammalia; Primates; Hominidae. The record is from RNAcentral.